RNAcentral lists this ribosomal RNA (396 nucleotides) under uncultured bacterium. RNAcentral describes it as "partial 16S ribosomal RNA". It matches the Rfam family "Bacterial small subunit ribosomal RNA", at positions 523 to 918 of the family's 1533-position model. The record is from RNAcentral.
AUACGUAGGGGGCAAGCGUUAUCCGGAUUUACUGGGUGUAAAGGGAGCGUAGACGGAAGGCCAAGUCUGAUGUGAAAGCCCGCGGCUCAACUGCGGGACUGCAUUGGAAACUGGUCAUCUGGAGUGCAGGAGGGGUAAGCGGAAUUCCUAGUGUAGCGGUGAAAUGCGUAGAUAUUAGGAGGAACACCGGUGGCGAAGGCGGCUUACUGGACUGCAACUGACGCUGAGGCGCGAAAGCGUGGGGAGCAAACAGGAUUAGAUACCCUGGUAGUCCACGCUGUAAACGAUGAAUACUAGGUGUGGGGGGACUGACCCCCUCCGUGCCGCAGUUAACACAAUAAGUAUUCCACCUGGGGAGUACGAUCGCAAGAUUGAAACUCAAAGGAAUUGACGGGG